This 785-nucleotide ribosomal RNA is filed under the name Trichothurgus herbsti. Its description in RNAcentral is "SSU rRNA". It matches the Rfam family "Eukaryotic small subunit ribosomal RNA", at positions 457 to 1201 of the family's 1831-position model. Lineage: Eukaryota; Metazoa; Arthropoda; Insecta; Hymenoptera; Megachilidae. The record is from RNAcentral.
CGGGGAGGUAGUGACGAAAAAUAACGAUACGGGACUCAUCCGAGGCCCCGUAAUCGGAAUGAGUACACUUUAAAUCCUUUAACAAGGAUCCAUUGGAGGGCAAGUCUGGUGCCAGCAGCCGCGGUAACUCCAGCUCCAAUAGCGUAUAUUAAAGUUGUUGCGGUUAAAAAGCUCGUAGUUGAAUUUGUGUACCACAGUGUCGGUUCACCGCUCGCGGUGUUUAACUGGCAUUAUGUGGUACGUCCUACCGGUGGGCUUAGCUCUUCGCGGGGCGGUCCAACUAAUCUCCCAUCGCGGUGCUCUUCACUGAGUGUCGAGGUGGGCCGGUACGUUUACUUUGAACAAAUUAGAGUGCUCAAAGCAGGCUAACUUCGCCUGAAUAUUCUGUGCAUGGAAUAAUGGAAUAGGACCUCGGUUCUAUUUUGUUGGUUUUCGGAGCCCCGAGGUAAUGAUUAAUAGGGACAGAUGGGGGCAUUCGUAUUGCGACGUUAGAGGUGAAAUUCUUGGAUCGUCGCAAGACGGACAGAAGCGAAAGCAUUUGCCAAAAAUGUUUUCAUUAAUCAAGAACGAAAGUUAGAGGUUCGAAGGCGAUCAGAUACCGCCCUAGUUCUAACCAUAAACGAUGCCAGCUAGCGAUCCGCCGAAGUUCCUCCGAUGACUCGGCGGGCAGCUUCCGGGAAACCAAAGCUUUUGGGUUCCGGGGGAAGUAUGGUUGCAAAGCUGAAACUUAAAGGAAUUGACGGAAGGGCACCACCAGGAGUGGAGCCUGCGGCUUAAUUUGACUC